UGCUGUGGCCAUAAACUCUCAAACUUAGCCUCUCAAAUCUCAUAAGACUACUCUCUAUCAAGAUUGAUAGAUUUUAUCUAGAUGCAUACCCUACUCCUACAGUGGACCAACUAUCGCCAACAUCCACUACAAGGUCUCAUUGAUAUCAUGUUUAUGUAUCAGUCAAACUCUAGCAGUCUCACUACGAGCAAUCAUACCAUCGCAGGUCAAAGGACCAUUCACACAACUACAGCAUUAAGAUAAUCACCGAUGAUUGAUUAGAAAUCCAAAUGAUCUCUUAUAAGAUCA
RNAcentral lists this long non-coding RNA (288 nucleotides) under Elaeis guineensis (African oil palm). RNAcentral describes it as "long non-coding RNA (EGUI_LNC060167)". Lineage: Eukaryota; Viridiplantae; Streptophyta; Magnoliopsida; Arecales; Arecaceae. The record is from RNAcentral.